Long non-coding RNA from Panthera uncia (snow leopard), 614 nucleotides. RefSeq lists it as uncharacterized. Lineage: Eukaryota; Metazoa; Chordata; Mammalia; Carnivora; Felidae. The transcript has 3 exons. The record is from RefSeq and is a predicted model, not a curated record.
CCGCCGAGCGUCGUGCGCCUGCGCGGAGAUCGGGGUGUUGGAGUAGCAGCAGACAGCAGACGGCACUUGUGGUUGGGGCUGGUUGCUUUGUUUCUGGGCCUUUUUGCCCUACGCCUGGGGGGCCAGCUCGGUGUCCCUCAGCGCCUUGCCUUCACCUCAGCUGUCUGCUUUUCGAGCGGCUCGAAGAGCAGGCUAAACCUCACAUCAAGCUGAAUUCUGAAGAUAUGUUGGCACCUGUGCACAAGCUCCCUAUACUGGACUCAUGAAACAAACCAGAACUAUCUAAGGGGAUUCCAAUCAACUGGUCAAGUUUAAGAGAUGGGUCCUGUUACAAAGCAGUGGUCUUCAGAGAUGAUACAGAGCCCUUGUCUUCAAACUUUUUGCUCCGAUCCCCUAAAAUAAUUUUGACAAAUAAAUGCUGCCUUGUGCAUAUUUAAAUUAGAUGAAAAUUUCAUCAUAAAUUUUAGUUACAAAAUAUGUAAUAUCUGCCAUAUUAAAAAUACUGAUUUUUUAACAUAAAAUCUAAAUUAGUUUUCCAAAUGUCCUAUGUAAUAUUAAUACCAUACUGAAUCAAUACCUACUAUCAUUCUUCCAAAAUAAAAUAUUUAAAAUAA